UAGGGAAUAUUGCGCAAUGGACGAAAGUCUGACGCAGCAACGCCGCGUGGGUGAUGAAGCAUCUUGGUGCGUAAAACCCUGUCAGUGGGGAAGAACCGUACGAGUAGUAACUGACUCGUGCCUGACGGUACCCACAGAGGAAGUCCCGGCUAACUCCGUGCCAGCAGCCGCGGUAAUACGGGGGGGACAAGCGUUGUUCGGAUUUACUGGGCGUAAAGGGUGCGUAGGCGGACCUUCAAGUAGGAUGUGAAAACUAUCGGCUCAACUGAUAGCCUGCAUCCUAAACUGAGGGUCUUGAGUAUAUCAGAGGAAAGCGGAAUUCCAGGUGUAGCGGUGAAAUGCGUAGAUAUCUGGAGGAACACCAGUAGCGAAGGCGGCUUUCUGGGGUAAUACUGACGCUGAAGCACGAAGGCUAGGGGAGCAAACAGGAUUAGAUACCCUGGUAGUCCUAGCGGUAAACGAUGGGCACUAGGUGUCGGGAGGUGUUGACCCUCUCGGUGCCGCAGCUAACGCAUUAAGUGCCCCGCCUGGGGAGUACGAUCGCAAGAUUGAAACUCAAAGGAAUUGACGG
RNAcentral lists this ribosomal RNA (571 nucleotides) under uncultured bacterium. Its description in RNAcentral is "bacterial SSU rRNA". It matches the Rfam family "Bacterial small subunit ribosomal RNA", at positions 355 to 916 of the family's 1533-position model. The record is from RNAcentral.